Molecule: non-coding RNA, 102 nt
Filed under: Phenylobacterium zucineum
Lineage: Bacteria; Pseudomonadati; Pseudomonadota; Alphaproteobacteria; Caulobacterales; Caulobacteraceae
Also listed under: 1 other name
Description: Glycine sequence
Rfam family: Glycine riboswitch aptamer
About the family: This family represents the bacterial glycine riboswitch. Glycine riboswitches usually consist of two metabolite-binding aptamers domains with similar structures in tandem.
Source: RNAcentral
CCGACUCUCGCGGGAGAGAUCUUCCAAGGCCUCCGGGCCGCGGAGGGAGCCGAAGGCGCAACCGCCCCGGAAACGCUCAGGCAAAAGGACCGCGCGGGCUGA